Molecule: RNA transcript, 3220 nt
Organism: Diospyros lotus (date-plum)
Lineage: Eukaryota; Viridiplantae; Streptophyta; Magnoliopsida; Ericales; Ebenaceae
Gene name: calcineurin B-like protein 7
Exons: 3
Source: RefSeq, a predicted model, not a curated record
UUUUACUCUCUCCUGUCUCAAUAUGGUAUCAGAGUGAUAAAUUGCUUCUGUCUUCAUGAUCUGUGCUGUCAUUUCUGGUCAUUCUCCGGUGACCCACGGAUUUUGCAUUCUUCCUUGUUCGAAGUCUGCAAUUUCAUUUUCCUUUCUUUCUUGUCUUGCUGUUCGUCCAUACUUGUUCUAUGGUGACAACAAUUCCAGAUUCGUCCUCCUCAUUGAUGAGCAAUUCCGCCAUCGACGUGGCUCAAGCCUGUAUUUCCUUCAUCAUUCUAAUAGUCUUGGCCUUGUUCUUGUCUCUCAAUCUUUAACCGGGGAUAACUGUGCCUUGUGGAGUCCCGCAAUGUUAAUAGCGCUGUCCGUGAAAAAUAAAUUAGGGUUUAUUGAUGGAUCAAUUGGAAGGCUGACAAUUGGAGAUCCACUGUUCAGUGCAUGGAUCCGCAACAAUCAUAUCGUCAUUUCCUGGAUACUCAAUUCGGUGUCUAAGGAAAUAUUGGCCAGUGUGAUCUACUCAGAGUUUGCACACGAGAUUUGGACAGAUCUCAAGGAGCGAUACCAGCAGAGGAAUGGGCCUCGGAUCUUCCAAUUGCAACGUGAUCUAAUGAACCUAUCCCAAGUUCUUGCAGAUCACUAUCAAACUGAGUAUGUUAUGUCAUUUCUGAUGGGGCUAAAUGACACUUUCGUGCAAGUUAGAGAUCAGUUGCUACUCAUGGACCCUAUUCCCCCUAUCAACAAGGUACUUGCUCUUAUAUCUCAAGAAGAGAAUCAAAGAAAUAUAAUUACCUCUGCUGGUGAGAAUGAAUUUGUAGUAUUUUAUGUGAAACAUGAUGGGAAUAAACUUGGAUAUGGUAGAAAUCAAAAGAAGGAACGUCCUUUUUGUACACACUAUGGGUACAAUGGACAUACCAUUGAAAAAUGCUACAAGUUGCAUGGAUAUUCUCUGGGAUACAAACCUAAACAAAGGACUAACCAACUUGGUCAGGCCAACUCUGCUAUUAUUAGUUAAGUCUCUGAAUGUGUCCCUAAUCAAUCUAAGAAUCAUGAGAAUUUUGGGAGUUUUAUGCAGACCUUAACCCCUGUUCAGUAUCAACAAUUGAUGGGGAUGCUCAGCUCACAUCUUUCUGAUGCUAAGUCCAACAUAGAUGUUCAUGCUUUCCUUGAUCAGGCAUCAGGAUGUCCACCACAUGAGGAUGAUUGGCAGGGGUAAUCUACUUGAAGGACUUUAUGUUUUGGAUGGACUUUCACUGGAGCUUGGCAGCCAAAAUGUAGAUAAGGCCUGUACUCCUUAUGUUUCUGUAGCUAAUGUGAUAAGGAACCAUACUUGACACAGCAAGUUAGGCCAUCCUUCUCUUAAAAAGCUGGUACAAUUGAAGGAUUUGUUGAACUUUACUCAUGCCUACAAGAAGAAUGAUAUUCCCUAUUCAAUUUGUCCCUAGCCAAAUAGAGACGUUUGUCUUUUAUUUCUCAUAAUCACUUGUCUAAGUAUGCAUUUGAUCUUAUACAUUGUGACACUUGGGGUCCAUACCAUAUUCCUAUUUAUGCUGGGCAUCGAUAUUUCUUGACUUUGGUGGAUGAUUGUACACGAUUUGCCUGGGUUUUUCUCAAGAAACAUAAGUCUGAUGCUAGGACUAUUAUUCCCAAGUUUUUCUCCCUUGUUGAGACUGAAUUCCAUACAGUAAUUAAAGGGUUUAGGUCUGACAAUGCCCCUAAGUUGCUGCUUACUGAUUUCUUUGCCUCGAAAGGUGUUGUCCAUCAAUUUUCAUGUGUUUGAGAGGCCUGAACAAAACUCAGUUGUAGAACAUAAGCAUUAGUGCACGCUUAAUGUGGCUAGAGCCUUGUAUUUUCAGUCUCAGGUGCCUAUCAAAUUCUAGGGAGAUUGUGUUCUUACUGCCACAUUUCUGAUAAAUAGAACACUAGCAUCUAUUUUGCAAAAUAAUUCCCCUUAUCAAAUGCUAUAUCAUACCCCUGUGGAUUAUGAUUCUUUUAAAGUAUUUGGCAGCCUAUGCUUUGCAUCUACCUUGCCAUCUCAUAGGAUUAAAUUCCACCCUAGAGCUACAGCUUGUGUGUUUAUUGGUUAUCCUCCAGGUAUUAAAGAAUACAAGCUGUAUGACAUAGCCACUAAAGCAAUUUUUGUCUCUCGAGAUGUUUUUCAUGAACACAUGUUUCCUUUCAAUUCUGUCACACCUUCUGAUGAGGUGAAAGAUCCUUUUCCUACCCUUGUUUUGCCUAAGUCAGCUUCUAACCCUAUACCAUCAUACCUCCACUUACUUCUGUUGUUUCUCCAGGUUCAGAUGAGGAUCAUGCUAUUCUUUCUGAUCCUCACCCUCCUAUUUCCUCUUCUCUUCCUGUCUGCAGGUCUGCUAGAACCACAAAGCCGCCUUCUUAACUUAAGAGACUUUCACUGUAACCUCUUGGAUAGCAGAUCAACACCUCUUCCUCAGACACUGUAUCCCUUGCAUUAAUAUCUUUCUUACACCCAUUUGUCUUCUUCUCAUCGAUCUUUUCUUAUUACAGUGUCUUCCAACGUUUGAACCCCAACACUAGCAUCAAGCUGCCCCAUAUGCUUAUUGGAGGGAUGCCAUGGUUGCUGAAUUGGAGGCUAUGCAGCAAAAUCAGACUUGGUCUGUUGUCCCUCUUCCACAUGACAAGCACUCUAUCGGUUGUAGAUGGGUUUAUAAAAUCAAUUACAAAUCUGAUGGCACCAUAGAGAGGCAUAAAUCCGGUUUAGUGGCAAAAGGGUAUACUCAACAAUCUUACUUGAUACUUUUUCUCCAAUUGCCAAGUUGGUUAUUGUCAAAAUCUUACUUGCUCUUGUUGCUAUUAACAAAUGGUCUCUAGCUCAACUUGAUGUUAGUAACGCUUUUCUUAAUGGUGAUAUCUUUGAGGAGGUGCACAUGGAUCUUCCACCUGGUUAUCAGUUUAACAAUAAGGUUUCUUCUCAGGGGGAGAGGUUAGUAUGCAAGUUACACAAGUCCAUUUAUGGCUUGAAACAAACCUCCUGGUAGUGGUUUUCUAAAUUUUCUAUUGUGCUUGUUCAUCAUGGUUUUUAUCAGUCUUGGCCUGAUUACUCUUUAUUCACUAAGGGUACUGGCACUCCUUGUUUCUGUUGAUGACAUCAUUAUCACUAGCCCUAACAUUACAGUCAUAGACUCUAUCAAGGUCUUUCUUCACAGCCAGUUUAAGCUUAAAGACCUUGGUCGGUUAAGGUACUCUCUUGGCUUGGAGA